AAAUGCGAUAAGUAAUGUGAAUUACAGAAUUCAGUGAAUCAUCGAAUCUUUGAACGCACCUUGCGCUCCUUGGUAUUCCUUGGAGCAUGCCUGUUUGAGUAUCAUGAAAUCUUCAAAGUAAAUCUUUUGUUAACUCAAUUGGUUUCUACUUUGGUAUUGGAGGUCUUUGCAGCUUCACACCUGCUCCUCUUUGUUCAUUAGCUGGAUCUCAGUGUUAUGCUUGGUUCCACUCGGCGUGAUAAGUUAUCUAUCGCUGAGGACACUGUAAAAGGUGGCCAAGGUAAAUGCAGAUGAACCGCUUCUAAUAGUCCAUUGACUUGGACAAUACUUUUAUGAUCUGAUCUCAAAUCAGGUAGGACUACCCGCUGAACUUAAGC
RNAcentral lists this unclassified non-coding RNA (377 nucleotides) under plant metagenome. Its description in RNAcentral is "partial contains 5.8S ribosomal RNA, internal transcribed spacer 2, and large subunit ribosomal RNA". The stretch from base 1 to 104 matches the Rfam family "5.8S ribosomal RNA", at positions 51 to 154 of the family's 154-position model. The record is from RNAcentral.